Long non-coding RNA from Perca flavescens (yellow perch), 1631 nucleotides. RefSeq lists it as uncharacterized. The transcript is spliced from 10 exons. The record is from RefSeq and is a predicted model, not a curated record. Lineage: Eukaryota; Metazoa; Chordata; Actinopteri; Perciformes; Percidae.
GAUUUGAGUUUUGGAGCUGUCUGGUGCUGACAAUUUGUUUCGGGGAAAGAAAUGUUAGAAGAAAAAUGUAAAUGAAAUUACGAUGACGUUAAUUAAUUAAUUAAUUCAUCGAUGACGUGGAGCCAUUAAUUCAAGACGAAAUGAUUGGCAUCAUUUUAUACAGCGCGAACUGCCGUGAACUUCAACGACGUGCUGCCGCAAGUGCCAGAUCGAGGCAACUGUCUGAGUCUGCCUUUGGAUGAGACUCAGACUUGGAGACAGCAUUAACACGCAAGACGACAAGACACAUCGAAGGGAAGACAAAGAAGUGAUCCGUGGCCUGGAGCUGAAAAGGACAGGAGGGGGAGAUGUGCAAAGGAGAAACGAAGGAAGGGAGGAAGAAGCAUCAGGAUAGAGGUGGAAAAGGGAAAGAAGGGAGAUGUGGCACAAGGAAAGUGAUGAGAAGAGAAAAAGAGAGAUAUCGUGUUGAUCCGGGGACAUCGGACUUCAACGUGAUGGGUUCCAGGGCCGUGACCCAAGCCUGCUGAAAACAGACUUCUUUGGUCUACUCUUUCUGCGUAAUGAUUCUAUCAUGCAGCUUUUUUUAUCCAACUGAAGAUAUGCACAUGAAAACAAUGAUGUUGGAGUGUAAUCAUGCCCGCUGUGAAAAAGAAGAACAUCAGGUCAGACACCAGGCAAACUCCCAAAGUCAGUUUGAACUGUGAAGAUUGCCCUCGGCAAGGACCCUGGGAACAGAUGGAUGACCCCUUCCAGCCUGCACUUGUUGUUUGUAAAAAGAUUCAGUGUGAAAAUAGUUAGGGGGAAAAAAAUGUCAGCAGUGAGUACAAUUGUAAAAGAUGACACAGCAACAGGAAAAGAGUGGAUGGAUGAGAUAAAGAGAGCGAGACAGCCAGAGAUGCCAGAACUAAACAAAUACUUACAGGCAAACUUUGCCCAGCCAGUGCUGUGAGGAGCAGAGGAGGCGAAGGCCGCAGAGCAAAAGAGGACAGGAAACAAAAAAACCCACCUGUCCAGCCAGAGUAAUAGGGAGGUGCGAGGGGCUGCAGAGCACCAGCGAGGCAACAGAUGGAGGUACCUCCUGGAUCGGAGACUCAUCUAGGUCAUCGAUUCGAGGUUUCUUGAUGUUUGACUCGGGGCUGGUCAGAGGAGUCACACUGUUCCGCCUGAUCAAGGUGCCAGGACCCUUCUUCACCUCCUGCAGGUACUGAACAAGUCACCCACAAUAGUACAGGAUGUGACACCGACUUCAGUUCUGUAGGGCUGAGCAGAACAUUUCCAGUAAUCAGUGUAUCAAGCAUUACCUCAGGUCGGUCUCUGUGCGUGUUCACCGCCUCCACAUUCAGAGAGAUGGACUCCACUUUGCACCCGUAGGCGACCGGGGUGAGCUUCAGCACCGUGUGGAGGGGACACUUCAGGUAGGGCAUCUCCUCUGGAACAACAAGCAAAGGAAGGAAAAACAAAGAUGUGAACACAGUUGCAUAUAGCAGAUUGGAGUAUCAUAAAUCAUUAGUAAUCCAUACAGCCUCUCACUUAUCCAUACAUCCUCUUGUUUUUCUUUCUUAAUGUUAAACAGUUAUACGUCUGUAACAAUUAUAACAUAACUGUCUAAUCGCAAUUUUUUUUUGUUGGCA